This 852-nucleotide long non-coding RNA is filed under the name Capra hircus (goat). RNAcentral's name for it is "lncRNA (ENSCHIG00000002589.1)". Lineage: Eukaryota; Metazoa; Chordata; Mammalia; Artiodactyla; Bovidae. The record is from RNAcentral.
AGAUGAUGGAACUGAGAAGACUCAGCUCACUAAGACCAUCCUGUGUCUCCGCCUCCAGGUCCCGACUUCCGCUUCCGGUUCUUUCCCUAAACUCGGUAGGUCAUUCAAGCAGAGGUCAGGGCCGCACUGGUGCAGCUCCCGCACCUGGUGUGGUGAUGUCCAGGAUCAAGCACUGCUUCCCCUGGCUGACCCCAUUCUUGCCCAACUGCUCGCCUACCUUCAGAGCUGAUUUAGCUGUUUGGACACGACUGGCCAGCUUGGGUAGCUCUUCCUCUGGGAAACAGACCUCCACCGAUGAACAGCUCAGGCAUGGAGAAGCUACACAUACUGCCGGAGUCUUCCUUUCCUGGGUUCAGAGGCCACCUCCUCACUAAGGCACGAGGAAGAGGUGUGGAUGCCAUGGUGAUCACGCCAUGGAGAAGAGCCAGCUUCCAGCACCCAAGAAUUCAGGUACCCGCCCUGCCCAUUUUCCUCCAUAUCUUUCUUGUCAUGAGACACCAACUACUCUUCCAAACACGAGGCAUGAAUCAGAACUAAAAUUCUGUUUCUUAAAUUCACAAUUGAAAAACAACAGCAUUUACGUUAGUUAUUUUUGUCUAGGAUACAAGGGCAGUCUAUGAAUAAAAUACACACAGUUGGAGAGGAGGAGACGAUUCAUCCCACAUCUCUCUGCCAACCCAAAGGCCAACUGAACCAGCUUCGUGACUUUCCAUAGUUAAGAACAUGCCACCAGCCAACUAGAGUGGUUUUACCAGUGCUUAGAAUAUUGAAUUCAGUUCUCAUCUGCGCCGAUUUGGGUUGUUGAUUUAAAGUAGUUAAAUUUAACUUCAUGAAUUACUGAGUUGAAUUGAG